RNAcentral lists this long non-coding RNA (4405 nucleotides) under Capsicum annuum. Its description in RNAcentral is "long non-coding RNA (CANN_LNC008692)". Lineage: Eukaryota; Viridiplantae; Streptophyta; Magnoliopsida; Solanales; Solanaceae. The record is from RNAcentral.
AAUAGCAAUUCCACGACAACACUAACGUCUCAACCCAGCUCCGACCCGAAUUUGCCAGCCCCGAUUAACCCUUAACCACGUCGACCUACGUCUAACAGCGAAACCCGACCCCAACCCGUUUCUUUUUCACCUUCGUCACGCAUCUCACGCAUCCGUAGGACGAGAAAAUGAUCCAAAAAUCUUUUGAACAAGCUAGGUGACACCCCCCAAUGGCUAAUUGCAUGAAUCUCUGCCACGAUGGUACUAUUUCGUACAUAUUUUGUAAAUUUUCGUUGGUUCUUGGGGAAAUUAUCCAUUUCCCCCAAUUUCUGUUGGCCAUUUUUUGAAAUCCGUUCCAAAAAAUCCAAAUUAGGGUACAAUCUGUUAUUAUCCUCAUCUUUUGAAUUUCGAAAUUCCCCCUGAAAAAUCCCUAAAAUACCCCAAUUCCGUCUUCUAUAUAAGAACCCAUUGGGUCACUAUUUUGGGGGAUUGGAAAUACUGGAUUUGGAAAAAACUAAGGAAGAGAGAAAAAGAACAAAAAUUCUUGGAGAAAAUUCGGUCUUUAGUAGAAAUUCUGUUCUUGUUUUGAAAGUUUAUCGACUAAAUUAGAGCUUCGAGUUGACGGUGAAGAAGUUUUUACGGUGGUCGUGAUCUCCAUACCAAUUCUUCGUCUCGAUUUGCUGCCCUUAAAGAGGUAAAUACACUCUGCUUUUCCUUUAAUUUGACCGCUUUCUUCUUCGUCUCUUUUUCUUCGUAGCUAAUGUAGUCGUAGUCGUAACCUUGUUUUGAUGGGAGUAGCUAAUUUGUCAUAGCUGCCUGAUAUGCAAUUUCUGCUAGUUUCGCCUCAGCUUUGAAAUCUGCCGCUUAAUCUUGACAUUGUUGAUGAAUUUGCGACGUAACACUCUCAUUUUGUUUACUGCCUGAGGUGAAUAGUUGGUUUCAUAGCUAAAGUUUCGUGCUUUGACUUUGUCUAGUAUCUAGGGCUGAUGGUGUCUUGUUCCUGGUUAGUAUUUGACGUUGUUUUGUUUGUCGUCAUUAUCUUGGUUCUGUCUCGUUUUCGCUUUGAAGUAGUAAAAAAUGGUAAUUUAACUCUUUCUUGUAUGCUCGGUGUUCUCUGUAGAAGGCCUCAAAGGCCAUAGGAUCUAUGUGCGUUAAAAAUGUGUAAUGGUUGCGUUGUAUUAGAUUCAUUGUUUGAUCUCCAUGUCGAGCUUUUUUUCCUUUACCGUUAAUUCACGUUUAAAAGUGUAGAAUAGCAUGAAAUCCAUGUUCUACCCUAAUGUUCAAUUGUAAACAUUUUAGGAUGUCUGCUUGGUUUAUUGGAAAGUAUUCUUGUUGAAAUAUCAUGAUUUCCCUUUUUUUUAAUCAUCGUAAGCUCGUUUACCAAAAUGCAGUUAGUCUUAGUUAGUCGAGUCUGAUAUGAGCAUAAAGAAAUUUUUUUUCUUUUCUUCUUUUGGGUUGCUAUUCGAUAAAGUAGUGAAAUAUUCUAGUGACAAGAUGGGUGUUUCUUCCAUAAUACCUUUGCAUGAGCUUUCCGAAAAUCUACCCAUCUGAUUGGAUUUUGCGGAUCUUUCCCCAAUUUCAGAUCUUGGCAGUAGUAUACUCCCGAAAUGUGGUUGUAAGAGUAGCUCGGAUAUGGUGGUUUUGUUACUAUAUCUAAAACGUUUGCUUCUGAGAGUUUGAUUGCUUAAGUUUGUUCCGGUCUUUCUCUUUUCUCUAUGUGAUGAUUUGAAUAGAAGAUGCAUGCUUAGAGUCGUUUGUCCUCCUUUCUUGAAGUUCACUGUAACUAGUCGAAAUUAGAUGUGAAUGGUAAUUCCCAUAACAUAGGAUUCACUAACUUAUAAACUAACUUGCUCUUUGGGUUUCUUGAGUUCUUAUCUGUUAACUUUCUAUCACCCUCGCUAAAUCUUUAGGUUGUCCGGUCAAAAUCCUCGCUUAAUUAAAAUAAUUUCCACAGCCUUAAAACGUAUUGAUCUAACUCCUUUUACUUGAAAUCAUGUGACUAUUCUCAUCCUCUCUGUAAACUAGAAUUUCUUUGAUUGUGCGCUUUCUCUAGCCAUUAUGAGUCGUAUUUCUUUCCGCAUUCUUGUGUUUUCUUCGAUUAUCCCGCAUCACAUGUUGCGGAUACAGACUGAACCUUUUAAUCACGUGGGGUUAGGAAGGGGAAAGUCUUAUUUAGUUAUUUCUUUUUAAGAUAACUGAUAUACAACAUUUGCAUCUUGCUAAAUUUACCAUGUGCAGCUUAUCUUUAUGUAAAUGAUGCCAUUCAUCUUGACUCGCAAGUUGUGACAUAUCUUUGCACAAAUAAAAAUUUUUCUAACGCUUAACAUUAUUUGAAUCCAUAUUUUGGGAGUAGUUUCUAGGAGAACAUGUUACAGUUAUUCAUAGGCUACUGCUGAAGUCCCUUUCUUGUUGCCCUCACUAUGUUCCUGCAGUAGUUGAUGACAUGCAUUUGGGUUUAUAAUCACUGCCUAAUACAUAGUAGGAGGCAGUACUUUCUUUUUUUUAGUAUUUGGUAUUUAAGUGGUACUUAAGAAGCAGAUUCGUGUUAAAAGGUUAAUCCAAGUCUACGAGGUUGUCUUUUAGUGCGUUACGUGGAGUAUCUUGUUUAUUGUAUUAUUAGACAUGUUACUUGUUGUUGCAUUUUUUUCCGCAUUUAUGCUUGAAUCUUUCAUUGUAUCAUUAAUUUCUUUAGCAUGUUAAUCCCUAAUUCGGAAUACUUAUUAAUCCCUUCAUUUUUCUUUCCUUCUCAUCUCUGCAUGUACUUGCUUCGGAGUCCAAACGAACUCCUCCUCUCUUUCAUGAACGGGCCAAUGAGGCCUCUCUUCUGAGUCAAGCCUCAAAGAAAGUCAAACGAAUUAGAUGGCGUACGGAUACGAGGAAUCAAAAGGAGAAGAAUGGGUUAAAAUCCCACGUUUGAAGUGGCUAUGAGACUUAAAAGUCUCAUUUGUUGUUUUAUUUAUUUACUUAUUGUUGUUUUUAUUUAUUUGUUUAUUUAUUCAUUCAUUUGGGCCACGUGGAGCGAGACCCGAGCCAAGCGCUCGAAAACUAGAUUAGAUUAGGACAGGUGAAAAUGGGUCGAAAACCUAAUUAGACUAGGACAGGUCUCGUUGAUUUGGGCCCAAUGGCCUAAAUCCUUUACUUUCUCCUCCCUUUCCCUUUUUAUGAGUUUAUUUGCUUGUUCGUUUUGUUUAGACUUAGUUAAAAUUCCUACUAAGUCGCCUAAAUUUACAAAAGUCUUUUCUAAAAAUCAGUCAAUUUUUAACAAAUCAAUCUUUUUGAAGUUAGUCAAAAGACGUUUGCAAACAGUUUGGAUAACCGCAAGUUAGCGGAUGUUUUAGGUGCUUAAUACCUUCAUAAAAUGUUAAUAGGAAUCGCUUGCUUAGAAUCUUCAAAAUUUAAACAAAUUUUCUAUUUUGGAUCGUUUAAAGUAUUUAUAAAGGUUUUUUAAUUCUUUUCAAUAUUAAGUGGCGACUCUUCUAAAAAGUUAAAAUUUCUCCUUAAAACACUGCUAACUGAUUGAGUUUACUAAGGUUCGAACUAAAUACUACUGUGACAUGAUGAGAGACUGAGAUUCCUGAGAUUAGUGAAUGGAAUUGGACUGAUACUGAGUUUUCCUGAGUCACAUGACUGAUUGAAUUCUACUAAACAUGGCUUGACUGAGAGUAUCGUAAAAAAUGACACAGGCUCUAGACACAACUAAAUUAUCGGGUACAGGUACCCCCAGGACUCGAUAGCAUGAAACUGACAAGACUUGACACUUCUUGAACACAUGACCAAUAUCAACAAUUCUAAUACAAUAAGUUGGAAAUUUCAUGAAGUAUAUGGUUAUCAUAAUCUUGUACAUGGAAGGAAUGCAUAUAAUCAAUGUCAUAAUUUCAUAUUCUAGCACCAUGAGCAUUUCAACAAACAUUUACAUUGCACAUCAAUAGCAUGGGAGUAAUUUGAACAUAAGGGUAAAACAUGAAUCCAUCACUUAAGUCACAAUUGAGCUAUAUUUUAUAAUUUUUAGUAUUCUAGGCAUUUUAUCAAAUACCUUACAUGCACCACUUAGGGCAUAGGUAUGAUGAUAAAUUAACACCUCAUAAACUACUCAAUUUAUGGAUUUAAACUCGUUUACUAACGUAAUUCCAUAAAAACACAUUGGGAUUCCAACUUGGGAACCAUACAACAACAAUCACAUAAACAUAAUCAACCCACAAUAUAAUAUUCAUAAUACAUGAUUUAAAACUUGAUUCUUGGGCUUCAUGGACGAAAGAAAUUCAUGAAUUAACACUAUGCAUACCUAGACAUCUAAAUUCUUGGAAAGAUUCUUGUAAUUGGCCUUGAUUUCUUGAGCUAGGGUUUUUGCCUCUUGAGAGAGAAGGAUUUUGUUCUUGAGAGAAAGUGGGAAAAAGUGAUGUAAUAGUGUUUUUAGGGCAUAAUUCCG